This 450-nucleotide ribosomal RNA is filed under the name Melongena melongena. RNAcentral's name for it is "partial small subunit ribosomal RNA". It matches the Rfam family "Microsporidia small subunit ribosomal RNA", at positions 752 to 1303 of the family's 1311-position model. The record is from RNAcentral. Lineage: Eukaryota; Metazoa; Mollusca; Gastropoda; Neogastropoda; Melongenidae.
UCUUGAAUGUAAAUUUGAUUAGAUUUACCAGAGUACUAUGAAUCAUAUAAAAUUUAAAACUCAAAGGGCUUGGCGGUGUUUUAGACCUAUUAGGGGAACCUGUCCUGUAAUCGACAGUCCACGUUAAACCUGACCUUUUUUAGCAAUCAGCUUGUAUACCGUCGUCGCCAGGUAACUUUUAAAAAAUCAGAAGUUAGCUAAUGUAAUUUUUAUAAAUUAAAACGUCAGAUCAAGGUGCAGCCAAUAAAAAGGAAAGGAUGGGUUACAAUUAUAUUCUUAUAAUUACGGAAGAUUAUGUGAAAGCGUAAACGGAAGGAGGACUUAAAAGUAAAAUGUAUUACAUAAAUAAUUUGAAUGAGGCUCUGAAACGUGCACACAUCGCCCGUCGCUCUCGUUGAAAAAUGAGAUAAGUCGUAACAUAGCAGGGGUAAUGGAAAUUGCCCCUAAAUG